Molecule: ribosomal RNA, 253 nt
Filed under: uncultured bacterium
Lineage: Bacteria
Description: partial 16S ribosomal RNA
Rfam family: Bacterial small subunit ribosomal RNA
Source: RNAcentral
UACGGAGGGGGCUAGCGUUGUUCGGAAUUACUGGGCGUAAAGCGCGCGUAGGUGGUUUGUUAAGUUGGAUGUGAAAUCCCCGGGCUCAACCUGGGAACUGCAUCUGUGACUGUAUAGCUAGAGUACGGUAGAGGGGGAUGGAAUUCCGCGUGUAGCAGUGAAAUGCGUAGAUAUGCGGAGGAACACCGAUGGCGAAGGCAAUCCCCUGGACCUGUACUGACGCUCAUGCACGAAAGCGUGGGGAGCAAACAGG